Empidonax traillii (willow flycatcher) is the source of this 1867-nucleotide long non-coding RNA. RefSeq lists it as uncharacterized. The transcript is spliced from 3 exons. Lineage: Eukaryota; Metazoa; Chordata; Aves; Passeriformes; Tyrannidae. The record is from RefSeq and is a predicted model, not a curated record.
AGAUUCAUGACAGAAGACAAGAUUUGUACUUUUAGCAACCGGAUGUUUCUACUUUACUCUGAAAGAGAAAGUUCUUUCUGUGAACUUUUAUUAUUUGCAACUGUGAAUCAAGAAGAAAUGAAUUGCAACUAUCCUGUGCUUUUUCUCUCAGCUGGAAGAAUACAUGUGCUAUUUACUAUUUGGGGAAUGAAAAAAUCAUCUUUUUCUAUACAGUAAAUAAUUUCUAAUAGCUGUGGUAUUAAACCUGACAGUAUGUUUGUUGUGGAAAAAUAUCAUCUACUUAAGGCUUUUCAUGUAGCCCUCUCGAAAGGACUCUUAGCAUUUCUUAAUCUUUCUGUGUUGAUUCACUUGCCCUCUCCUGAUAAGAAGCACAGUUCUUAUCAGUGCAGUUGAUAACUGAUAAGUGCAGGGUUGCAGUUUGCAUAAAUUCAAUGCUGCAGCUUCUUAGCUUGACUUGAUACCUCCAGAUUGUUUAAAAUAGUCUUAGGUCAUGGGCAAGAGACUUCAAGACAACCACGGGUCAGCAAAGCACAUAAUCGUGCUUGUGUUUUGAAAAUGCGGCAAUUUGUAACCACACCUGCAAUUCCCAUGGAUAUUCUUCAGAAACUAUAUAAUAUGCUUAUGCCUGCAGGCUCUGGUUUGCCCUCUCAAUGUUAUAUAAUCAUCCUCGAGAAAGUAGUGAAUUCACACUGGCUCUGAGAGGAGACCUGGAUCCUCACUGGGUGCAAUUAAAAUACCAUGGAGCAAAAAGCUGGAGGCUGCACCAAUGACUGCUGCCUGUAAGUGUGCAAAGAGCAGCCAGGUAUUACCCUGCUUUGCUAAAAAAACAGCACCAAGGGCUGCACCACGUGCUGGGUGCACAUGACCUGAGGUCUCUGCGUAGCACGAGGGAACACCCGUAGGAUGGUGCAAUGAUGAGGAAGAUCGGGAGGCAAAGCCACAGAUAUGGGCAGACAGCGAGUCCAGGGAUGUGCCACGCACUGUCAUCCCUCGAGGCAUCCCUGUGCAGAAUCCUCCCAGCACAGGCACAAAAGAUGACCCCUCUGCCUGCAUAAAAACCCAUUGUCUGUCCACAGGCUGUGUAGUGGUAUCCCAAAAACUAAUUACUUUUUUUUGUUGGGGUUUUUUUUCCCGUUGCUUGACAGGAAAGCAGCCUGAAAACACUGUUGAGAAAUGACAGUUUGGGAAGCAGCUCUGGAAUCAUCCUGCAGGGUGCUGGUGCUGUCCAGGCUGCAGCAGGCUGGCAGCCUGCUCUGAUUCCAGGCAGAUUUCCCACACUGACAGGCUGUAGGGCACAAAACAACCGUGUAACAGUGACUAAUGAGAACUGCUGCCUGUCUCCAUGCAGAAACGCUCGGGAAGGGAGGGGUUUCAGGGAAAUUAGAGCCUUCUCUAUUGCCCCUCCUUGCCUGGGAAAAAUGCUUUCUGUGGCUUUGCAAACUGGGGAGCGCGGGAACCCGGGGCCGGGUUUAUUCCCCUGUGCACAUCCUCCCUCCUUGUCUCUCAUGCAGACAGCUACAGCAGGCACAGAAAUUUGCUUUGAUGCAGACUGAAAACCCGAGGAUUUCCUGGUCCAAUUCUGGCUUUUAUGCUUAUGAAGACAGGCACGAGCUUCCUCACAUGCAGCGGAGCAUCAGGAGCUGAAGCUGUGGCAGUCCUGCCCGUGCCUCCGACUUUGUUUAUGUCAAUAAGAGCAGGAAUGUUGCACAUCUCUAUAGACACAACCAGAGGAAAAAAUUAGUUGUCUCUAGUCUCUCUGGCUCAGUUUGAGCAGUUCUGGGAUUGUGUUCUGAAUCUUUUUUAGCAAUCUUGAAAGGAAGGAGAGAAAUCUGUAAUUAAAUCAAUACAUAUGUAAACGAGCAUCUGC